GUCUUUUAGAGUUGUAUUUAAAGUCUGACCUGCCCACUGAUUUUAUUUAAAUGGCCGCAGUAUUCUAACUGUGCAAAGGUAGCAUAAUCAUUAGUCUUUUAAUUGAAGGCUGGUAUGAAUGGUUGGACGAAGUAUAAGCUGUUUCAUAUAAAUUUUUAUUAGAAUUUUAUUUUUUAGUUAAAAAGCUAAAAUAAAAUUAAAAGACGAGAAGACCCUAUAAAUCUUUAUAUUUAAUUAUAUUUAAUUUUAUUAUUGAUUAAUUUUAUUUUUAUAUUUUUAAUUAUUUUGUUGGGGUGAUGUUAAAAUUUAAUGAACUUUUAAUUAUUUUUUUAUCAUUAAUUUAUGAAUUAUUGAUCCUUUAUUAGUGAUUAUUAGAUUAAGUUACUUUAGGGAUAACAGCGUAAUUUUUUUUGAGAGUUCAUAUCGACAAAAAAGUUUGCGACCUCGAUGUUGGAUUAAGAAAUAUUUUUAGGUGUAGCUGUUUAAAUGUUAAGUCUGUUCGACUUUUAAAUUCUU
This 516-nucleotide ribosomal RNA is filed under the name Carpophthoromyia dimidiata. RNAcentral describes it as "partial 16S ribosomal RNA". The stretch from base 392 to 516 matches the Rfam family "Bacterial large subunit ribosomal RNA", at positions 2473 to 2597 of the family's 2925-position model. The record is from RNAcentral. Lineage: Eukaryota; Metazoa; Arthropoda; Insecta; Diptera; Tephritidae.